AAAAAAACGUUGAAGACAAAAAAAAAAAAAAAAAAGCUCGGCCAUGGAGCAAUGUUAACCGAGAGGGAGAUUGGAGAAAAAGAAAAAUUUGAGGUGUGAAAUUGUUGUAACAUUCAAGUGAUUAGCAAGGUUAAGAAGCCAAGUUGAUUAAGGCUAAAAGAGCGACGAGACGAACGGGUUACGAAUAGCCGCUAACAGGUACAGACGUUCGUUCAGGUAACCCGCCAGUGUAGGGUACUUAUUCUGCUGUUUGGAGUACUCCUUUUGAUCCGGAGCUCAUAUUUUUGGUACCUAUCUUUUGUGAUACAUGUUUCUGUAUAUCUGAUUAUUUGGGGUACGGCGGGGCCCUGUCCCGCCAUAUAAUUCUGUCAUGGUUUGUAGAGGCCUGUAGACAUAUAUGUGGGUCAUGGGUUAUGUUUGUUCGAAUAUGUUUGUGAUUUGUGCCUUAAGCGGUCCCGUUUGCUAUUAUGGCCAAGACGGCCCAUAUGUUUGUAUAUGUAUGUAUAUCUGGGCGAUGUGUAUUCCGCCA
Molecule: long non-coding RNA, 529 nt
Organism: Lycium barbarum (goji berry)
Lineage: Eukaryota; Viridiplantae; Streptophyta; Magnoliopsida; Solanales; Solanaceae
Exons: 3
Source: RefSeq, a predicted model, not a curated record